ACAUCUGUGUAAAGACAGAAGCCUGUUUAUUGAGCUCCAGAAGCUCAAUAAACAGGCUUCUGUCUUUACACAGAUAU
This is a non-coding RNA of Podarcis lilfordi (Lilford's wall lizard), 77 nucleotides long. Lineage: Eukaryota; Metazoa; Chordata; Lepidosauria; Squamata; Lacertidae. The record is from the annotation of a GenBank genome assembly.